ACGCAUCACCAUUAAUGUGAUAUUUUUAUAAUCUUUUUAAAAAAUAGAAACUUUAUUUUAAUAUUUUAAUAAUUUUUUUAAAUGCAUUAAAGGAUUAAAAAACCCAUUUUCUUUUUUCUUUAUUGCCCUUUAUAGUUUCUUUCCUUCUAUUUUAUUUUCUUUUGUUCUUCUUUCUUUUUCUUCAACACAAAAACCCUAGCCACCUUCCUUCAAGCCACGCUGUUGUAGCAGUCCCUGAUCCGUUCACACUGUCGGUGUCCUUAAUCUGUUCUGGCGUCUUCCUUCUCUCUCUCCCCUUAUGUUUCUUUUUUUUUUUUUCGAAACCUCAGCAUCGCCAUAAACACAGUUGAGAGCCAUCAUCUCCGGCGUUUAAACUCUGAUCGGCUCUAUCGUCGGAUGGCAGCGGGUUUCCAAUAUGUUAUCUACCGCAUCAUGGACUUGAGCUUCAACAUCCGAAUCGUCAAGAAAGUGACGAGAUCUCCAUGAAUCAGACCUUGAUCGAAAAAAGGUCUUCAAAACAGGGUCUUUCCUUUUUUAAAAAAAAAAUUGUUUGAUUGGUUAUUGACUAUUGACGUUUAUUGUUGUUCAUUGGCUUUGGAUGGAGUUCGUUAAGGAUUUGAAAGUGUAUGAUUUUUGGACUAAGCUAUUUCCGGCGCGGUGGCCUGAACGGUGGCAAUCGUAUUUGAGAGAAGAGAAGGAAAAAAAAAUUCUUUUUAGAAAAUAAAUUAUUUUUCCGAAAUCUUAUUACUAAUAAAAUCGAAACAAUCUCUGUUUACUUAAAUAAAAUUAGAUUUUGUGGAAUCAUAUUAAAUAUUUGAGGUUA
Long non-coding RNA from Gossypium arboreum, 823 nucleotides. RefSeq lists it as uncharacterized. NCBI's taxonomy places the organism in Eukaryota, Viridiplantae, Streptophyta, Magnoliopsida, Malvales, Malvaceae. The transcript has 2 exons. The record is from RefSeq and is a predicted model, not a curated record.